GGCCCCGUAGCUCAGCAUGGAAGAGCGGCGGCCUUCGGAGCCGUAGGUCGUGGGUUCGAAUCCCACCGGGGCCGCCA
Molecule: transfer RNA, 77 nt
Filed under: Vulcanisaeta souniana JCM 11219
Lineage: Archaea; Thermoproteati; Thermoproteota; Thermoprotei; Thermoproteales; Thermoproteaceae
Description: tRNA-Arg
Rfam family: tRNA
About the family: Transfer RNA (tRNA) molecules are approximately 80 nucleotides in length. Their secondary structure includes four short double-helical elements and three loops (D, anti-codon, and T loops).
Source: RNAcentral